GACGCUGGCGGCAGGCCUAACACAUGCAAGUCGAGCGGCAGCGACUUAACUGAACCUUCGGGGAACGUUAAGGGCGGCGAGCGGCGGACGGGUGAGUAAUGCCUGGGAAUAUGCCCUGAUGUGGGGGAUAACUAUUGGAAACGAUAGCUAAUACCGCAUAAUCUCUUCGGAGCAAAGAGGGGGACCUUCGGGCCUCUCGCGUCAGGAUUAGCCCAGGUGGGAUUAGCUUGUUGGUGAGGUAAUGGCUCACCAAGGCAACGAUCCCUAGCUGGUCUGAGAGGAUGAUCAGCCACACUGGAACUGAGACACGGUCCAGACUCCUACGGGAGGCAGCAGUGGGGAAUAUUGCACAAUGGGGGAAACCCUGAUGCAGCCAUGCCGCGUGUGUGAAGAAGGCCUUCGGGUUGUAAAGCACUUUCAGUAGGGAGGAAGGUAGUGUAGUUAACACCUGCACUAUUUGACGUUACCUACAGAAGAAGCACCGGCUAACUCCGUGCCAGCAGCCGCGGUAAUACGGAGGGUGCGAGCGUUAAUCGGAAUUACUGGGCGUAAAGCGCAUGCAGGCGGCCUGUUAAGUCAGAUGUGAAAGCCCGGGGCUUAACCUCGGAAUUGCAUUUGAAACUGGCAGGCUAGAGUCUUGUAGAGGGGGGGUAGAAUUUCA
This 661-nucleotide ribosomal RNA is filed under the name Photobacterium damselae subsp. piscicida. RNAcentral describes it as "bacterial SSU rRNA". It matches the Rfam family "Bacterial small subunit ribosomal RNA", at positions 32 to 671 of the family's 1533-position model. The record is from RNAcentral. Lineage: Bacteria; Pseudomonadati; Pseudomonadota; Gammaproteobacteria; Vibrionales; Vibrionaceae.